AGUCACUGACAUUAGAUACCCGUGUAGUCCAGGGUGUAAACGCUGCAGACUUGGUGUUGGGAAGUCCUUUGGGGGGCAUUCAGUGCCGGAGAGAAGUUGUUAAGUCUGCUACUUGGGGAGUACGUCCGCAAGGAUGAAACUUAAAGGAAUUGGCGGGGGAGCACCGCAACGGGAGGAGCGUGCGGUUUAAUUGGAUUCAACACCGUAAAACUCACCAGGGAAGACUGUUACAUGAAGGCCGAGAUGAAGACUCUGCUAGAUUUUCAG
RNAcentral lists this ribosomal RNA (267 nucleotides) under uncultured archaeon. RNAcentral describes it as "partial 16S ribosomal RNA". It matches the Rfam family "Archaeal small subunit ribosomal RNA", at positions 717 to 982 of the family's 1478-position model. The record is from RNAcentral.